GUACUUGUACCUGGUGGCGAGCGGCGGACGGGUGAGUAAUGCCUAGGAAUCUGCCUGGUAGUGGGGGAUAACGCUCGGAAACGGACGCUAAUACCGCAUACGUCCUACGGGAGAAAGCAGGGGACCUUCGGGCCUUGCGCUAUCAGAUGAGCCUAGGUCGGAUUAGCUAGUUGGUGAGGUAAUGGCUCACCAAGGCGACGAUCCGUAACUGGUCUGAGAGGAUGAUCACUCACACUGGAACUGAGACACGGUCCAGACUCCUACGGGAGGCAGCAGUGGGGAAUAUUGGACAAUGGGCGAAAGCCUGAUCCAGCCAUGCCGCGUGUGUGAAGAAGGUCUUCGGAUUGUAAAGCACUUUAAGUUGGGAGGAAGGGCAGUUACCUAAUACGUGUUUGUUUUGACGUUACCGACAGAAUAAGCACCGGCUAACUCUGUGCCAGCAGCCGCGGUAAUACAGAGGGUGCAAGCGUUAAUCGGAAUUACUGGGCGUAAAGCGCGCGUAGGUGGUUUGUUAAGUUGAAUGUGAAAUCCCCGGGCUCAACCUGGGAACUGCAUCCAAAACUGGCAAGCUAGAGUAUGGUAGA
Molecule: ribosomal RNA, 584 nt
Filed under: Pseudomonas syringae pv. syringae
Lineage: Bacteria; Pseudomonadati; Pseudomonadota; Gammaproteobacteria; Pseudomonadales; Pseudomonadaceae
Description: bacterial SSU rRNA
Rfam family: Bacterial small subunit ribosomal RNA
Source: RNAcentral